CGUGAGGCGGAGCAAAACACAAAACACAGUCUCAGUUCAGAUUGUAGGCUGAAACUCGCCUAUAUGAAGUCGGAAUUGCUAGUAAUCGCGGAUCAGCAUGCCGCGGUGAAUACGUUCCCGGGCCUUGUACACACCGCCCGUCACACCAUGAGAGUCGAUAACACCCGAAGCCUGUAGUCUAACAGCAAUGAGGACGCAGUCGAAGGUGGGAUUGAUAGUUAGGGUGAAGUCGUAACAAGGUACC
Molecule: ribosomal RNA, 244 nt
Filed under: uncultured bacterium
Lineage: Bacteria
Description: partial 16S ribosomal RNA
Rfam family: Bacterial small subunit ribosomal RNA
Source: RNAcentral